RNAcentral lists this ribosomal RNA (252 nucleotides) under uncultured prokaryote. RNAcentral's name for it is "partial 16S rRNA". It matches the Rfam family "Archaeal small subunit ribosomal RNA", at positions 475 to 726 of the family's 1478-position model. The record is from RNAcentral.
ACCGGCAGCUCAAGUGGUGGCCAUUUUUAUUGGGCCUAAAGCGUUCGUAGCCGGUUUGAUAAGUCUCUGGUGAAAUCCCGCAGCUUAACUGUGGGACUAGCUGGAGAUACUAUUAGACUUGAGGUCGGGAGAGGUUAGGGGUACUCCCAGUGUAGGGGUGAAAUCCUAUUAGCCUGAGAGGACCACCUGUGGUGAAGGCGCCUAACUGGAACGAACCUGACGGUGAGUAACGAAAGUCAGGGGCGCGAAUCG